This 924-nucleotide ribosomal RNA is filed under the name archaeon OC15. RNAcentral's name for it is "bacterial SSU rRNA". It matches the Rfam family "Archaeal small subunit ribosomal RNA", at positions 33 to 959 of the family's 1478-position model. The record is from RNAcentral.
UUGGGACGAUUUAGCAUGCUAGUCGCACGAGUUCAGACUCGUGGCGAAUAGCUCAGUAACACGUGGCCAAACUACCCUUCGGAACACAAUACCCUCGGGAAACUGAGGCUAAUAGUGUAUACCAUACCACCACUGGAAUGAGUGGUAUGCCAAACGCUCCGGCGCCGAAGGAUGUGGCUGCGGCCGAUUAGGUAGACGGUGGGGUAACGGCCCACCGUGCCAAUAAUCGGUAUGGGUCAUGAGAGUGAGAACCCAGAGACGGAAUCUGAGACAAGAUUCCGGGCCCUACGGGGCGCAGCAGGCGCGAAACCUUUACACUGCACGACAGUGCGAUAGGGGGAUCCCAAGUGCACAGGCAUAGCGCCUGUGCUUUUCGGUACCCUAAGGCGGUACCAGAAUAAGGGCUGGGCAAGACCGGUGCCAGCCGCCGCGGUAAUACCGGCAGCCCAAGUGAUGGCCGAUCUUAUUGGGCCUAAAGCGUCCGUAGCUGGCCGCGCAAGUCCAUCGGGAAAUCCACCUGCUCAACAGGUGGGCGCCCGGUAGAAACUGCGUGGCUUGGGACCGGAAGGCGCGACGGGUACGUCCGGGGUAGGAGUGAAAUCCCGUAAUCCUGGACGGACCGCCGAUGGCGAAAGCACGUCGCGAGAACGGAUCCGACAGUGAGGGACGAAAGCCAGGGUCUCGAACCGGAUUAGAUACCCGGGUAGUCCUGGCCGUAAACAAUGUCUGCUAGGUGUGGCUCCCACUACGAGUGGGUGCUGUGCCGUAGGGAAGCCGCUAAGCAGACCGCCUGGGAAGUACGUCCGCAAGGAUGAAACUUAAAGGAAUUGGCGGGGGAGCACUACAACCGGAGGAGCCUGCGGUUUAAUUGGACUCAACGCCGGAACAUCUCACCAGCAUCGACUGUAGUAAUGACGAUCAGGG